Anser brachyrhynchus (Pink-footed goose) is the source of this 2056-nucleotide long non-coding RNA. NCBI's taxonomy places the organism in Eukaryota, Metazoa, Chordata, Aves, Anseriformes, Anatidae. The record is from Ensembl.
GGCUACAGCAGUGAGAAACUAAAAGCAAACUAAUAAAAUAAUUCUGCAAUGAUUCUACUCAUUGUCGCAUUGGAUACCUGAAUAUAAUAGUACAGCGAGGUUUAAUUUUCAAACGUAUUUCUCUCAAACUCAUUCUUAUAUUUUCCAUAAAUUUAUUUCCUUUCCUUCCCAUUCCUGUCUACACAAAUAGGCAUUUCCCCUCAUCUACUUUUAAUGAGGUUUUGUUAACUUGCCCAGGGUCAGACUAAACCAUUUAAUUUCUGCAUUAAAUGGGCUAAAGAAGUAUGUAUCUUCAGAAGCAUGCUGUUCUGUGUGGCACAGAGCUGUUUUCUUAAAGAUAAACCAGCUAAACUUGAGCACUGUACUUCAAGCUCACCACAUUUUCUGGAAAAGAAAAAAAUAAAAAUAAAAAUCACAGCUGUGCUCCCCCCACCUUUCUCUCUCUCUUUUUUUUUUUUUUUAUUGCAGUGGUUUCUUAUUCAAUCAUCUUCAUGAAAGUGCCAAGCAUUUCAGCAGUCCAGCCUUUCUUAAGACUUCCAGGGAGGAUUGGAAUGAGCCUCAUGGGGAAGAGCUUCCCCUGCAGUGAAUUCAUAAUUGUGCAUUACGGAAAUACAGAUGUUGGCAAUAGAAGAGAGCAAAACAAGAUCGUUUCCUUUCUUGCAUGUCAUGAGCUUUUUCAUCAUCAUUUCUGAAUUAUCCAGCAAUCAGUGUUAGUUCCAAAACAACCUCACAUGGUUCACAGUGCUUUUCCAUACAGAUUAAAUUUCUGCUUCAUGUUACUAACUGUCUUCAUGGACUGGGGAAAACAGAUAUGGCACCAGAGCCUGCCUCUCUCCAUUCUGAAUCACCAGUGAAGCCCCAUGAAGUGUCUCUGGCAGACAUGAAAGCAUUUGUCCCUGUCUCAUGACAGGUACACUUGUGAGAAAAGGUGCUGUUGCAUAUUCAUUCACCAGAGGUCAGCGUGGAGGAUAUAAACAGAAUGUAUUUAUAUGUACAAUACCUCAACUUUCUAAAGCGUUAUUUUAUCUAUUUCCUUCAUGAGUAUACAUUGUAUUGAAUAUGCAUGGGUCUGUAUAAAGCAUUCCUGGAGUCGUCUCCUCUAAGAGGUCAGGGUAGUAACCUUUCAUACACAGAAAACAGCAAUAACAACCAGCACAUUUUAUUAAUAUACUUUUAGGCUUGAAAAGUGAUGAAAGAAAAAUCUACGCUACUGUGAAGGAGAUGGGAGAGCAGAAAUUGGAAUACUGGACUGGGAUUACAUACCCAGCACUACACCGGGCUUCUGGUGACACAACAGUAAAUAUUCUAAAGCAGCCACCACUUUUUGAUUAUUGGCUAAAGACAAUAGUGGUUUGGCUCCCAGAGAUUUGUGUAAAUUGAGCAGCCCUGUAACCAGAACCUCUGAAAGGUGUGUAAAACAUAUAUGAAAUCUGAAACACACGUAAAGAGACUUAAAAAAUAUGGAGCUGGGCACAGGAGAAAAUCUGGACAUUCCUUUUCUGCGUUCUUCACUUCCCACAUGCAAAAUGAGUGACAGUACUUUAUAGGAGAUACUCUAUUAAGUUCACUGGUGGUAGAAAACAGCAUUUUACACAGAUAUACCAUUUGCAGAAGUGUAAUUUAAUUAUAAUUUCCUACUUCAAAAAGGGCUUGUUUUCAGCACGCUCCUUUGUUUAUGCAGUGCAUCCCAACCAGCAAAACUAUCUUGUCUUGAGAAAGUAGAGGUUAAAUGUAUUCAAUACAGCAGGAGAAUCUAACUCCAUCUCUAUUCUUUGCAAGACUGGUCUCUGAAGUAGCAAGGUAAAAGUUCUGAGUGAGAACCUAGUAACAUCUGAACAAAAUGCUUCUCUAAAAAAGAAGCAGCUCGAUCCUUUCUAGAUUGGUAGAUUUUCUUUAAAUAGGUCUAACAUAGCAACUAACUUUUCAGUUCAGAUAGGACAGAAGGCAUGUUAUAGAUUACUGUUACAUAUGUGGAAGAGUUAAAUAUAGGCAAAAAGGAUAACAAGGACACAAGGCUGUAAGGAUUAAAAAUAAAUUAAAAAAUAAUAUAUGGACA